Molecule: ribosomal RNA, 468 nt
Filed under: uncultured bacterium
Lineage: Bacteria
Description: partial 16S ribosomal RNA
Rfam family: Bacterial small subunit ribosomal RNA
Source: RNAcentral
GACGAACGCUGGCGGCGUGCUUAACACAUGCAAGUCGAACGGAAAGGCCCUGCUUUUGUGGGGUGCUCGAGUGGCGAACGGGUGAGUAACACGUGAGUAACCUGCCCUUGACUUUGGGAUAUCUUCAGGGAACUGGGGCUAAUACCGGAUAGGAGCUCCUGCUGCAUGGUGGGGGUUGGAAAGUUUCGGCGGUUUGGGAUGGACUCGCGGCUUAUCAGCUUGUUGGUCGGGUAGUGGCAUACCAAGGCUUUGACGGGUAGCCGGCCUGAGAGGGUGACCGGCGACAUUGGUCCUACGGUACGGCCCAGUAUGCAACCGGAGGCAGCAGUGGAGAAUAUUGCACAACGGGCCGAAGCCUGAUGCAGCAGCCCUGCGUGCGGGAUGCUGGGCUUCGGGUUGUGAACCGAUUUCGCCUGUGACGAAGCGUGAUUGACGGUAAUGGGUAAAGAAGCACCGGCUAACUACGUG